CCUACGGGUGGCAGCAGUAGGGAAUAUUGCUCAAUGGGGGAAACCCUGAAGCAGCAACGCCGCGUGGAGGAUGAAGGUUUUAGGAUUGUAAACUCCUUUUGUUAGAGAAGAUUAUGACGGUAUCUAACGAAUAAGCACCGGCUAACUCCGUGCCAGCAGCCGCGGUAAUACGGAGGGUGCAAGCGUUACUCGGAAUCACUGGGCGUAAAGAGUGCGUAGGCGGGGUAAUAAGUCAGAUGUGAAAUCCUGUAGCUUAACUACAGAACUGCAUUUGAAACUGUUACUCUGGAGUGUGGGAGAGGUAGGGGGAAUUCUUGGUGGAGGGGUAAAAUCCGGAGAGAUCAAGAGGAAUACUC
Molecule: ribosomal RNA, 356 nt
Filed under: uncultured bacterium
Lineage: Bacteria
Description: partial 16S ribosomal RNA
Rfam family: Bacterial small subunit ribosomal RNA
Source: RNAcentral